Cephus cinctus (wheat stem sawfly) is the source of this 2897-nucleotide long non-coding RNA. RefSeq lists it as uncharacterized. The record is from RefSeq and is a predicted model, not a curated record. The transcript is spliced from 4 exons. NCBI's taxonomy places the organism in Eukaryota, Metazoa, Arthropoda, Insecta, Hymenoptera, Cephidae.
UUCUCGUAGCGACGGGAUUAAUUUAACGACAUCGUAUACAGGAGGGCGCUCGGUAAACCCGUGGCGCCGUACCGUGCGGAUAAGAUUGAAAUUAACUCGCUACUCGAGCGUCGACAGUUUGGCUGUCAAGCGAUACAACAGACAGACAAAGAGAGAGUGAGAGAGACGGCAUCAAAGCUUCAGUACAAGACAAUGAAAUUGCGUGAGCAUCCUCAAGGGAAUUACGUGUUAACGUUCAGUGGAGAUAGCGAAGUAAAUCAAAAAUGAAAAUGACAAAGUGGUGCGUGUGACGUAAUCGAAAAUAGUUCUGACAGUAGCAGCACUAACUGUAGCUGCAGUAAUGCCAGUACCUAUGCUAAAACAUAAGUUUGUACACGGUUAUUGACGAAUCGAUAAACCGAUAGGUCAUAACCUAUACAUAGAAGUAGCUCGGAAGCUUACCGCUCUAGAAACGACGAUUUGAACGAACGAAAUUCACAUCGGUCCGUUACACUUCUAACUCGGUUCUACUGAGCAGGAAGAAAAGGUAGAGAAAAAGAAAAAAAAACUAGUCAAAUCACCCUGACAAUCUUCACCCCAUAUUGGAGGUUAACCAGGAGUAAAAUGAAGCGGGAAAUUUAAAGGAGCCCCUUAUACCUCACGUAAAUGGAAGAAAUACCAAGAGGAUCUUCAGGCAUUUAUUGGACAUCACGUAACCAACAUCGAAAUCCAGGAACAACAUUCAGGAAAGCGUCGCAUUUCCAUGACGAGAUAUACGAUGGAAUAAUUAGAAGCUUGAGAGUGUUCAAUGAAAAUUAACCAGUCAGGUUGAAAGACGAUCUGGAGUGGCUAAAGAGGACAGCGUCGAUCGUACUCUUUAAUUAACCGAUAAAGACGAUUUACUAGAGUGACCCUUUCAUCAAGUCUGUGUCUAUGAUUUAUGCACGUAUACUUUGGCCAAAUGAAAAUGACGAUAAUGCUACGUCGAUAAGGAAGUUCACUGCUUUACGAUUUGAAAGCCCAUCGACCGUUGGGAUGGAUGGUUUCCGGUUUACCUAGAGUUUCUAUAGAAAAACCCACAGACGGGUUCAGGACAAAACAGGAGAAAAGGCAAAUACAGUCUGGCCAAGAUGCGAAUAUAGAGUUGAGAGGGAGAAUUGAGAUGGUUUUCAUGAAAGUUUCACCGUCUGUAUUUUGUCGUGGAAAAUUCCUUCCAAUUCGAAUCCGCCAUUUUCUGUUUUUAAGGUUCAAAGUUCCUUGCCAAUAUCAGUGGCAUCCAUUUUCAGAGAAACUCUUAGGAAUGACCCUUUAACAGGAAUUUCUGAUAACGUGCAAGAGGAAGAUAGGAAUACGAGGACUAUUACUGUGAGGAAUGAGUAAAAAAAAAUAAAACUUAAGCUCAGUUCACAAUUGGUGAUCCGUUUGCCGCUAAUUUGAGAGCUUGCAAAAAUGUCCGUCAUUGUUUUGCUUCAUUUCAAUUCACAGGGCUAAUUGCGACCACGCGAAUAUCUGACGAACUCACAGAGGGACACAGGGAGUAGCCCGAGGCCCGGAAAACUCUUUCAUCUGGUAGCCAUUGUUCUCCUUCUCUCUCUUUCUCUUUCCUUUCACCCUUCCUCUACUUUCUCCUUGUAUCCUAGUAUCGUUAGUCUUAUUCCAUCCUUAGUCUAAAAUCUCCACCGUCACAUUCAAUCCUAGAAAAAGAGUCUGUUGUUUAAUCAGGCCUCGUUAGGUACUAACUACCCUCGCAAAAAAAAACAAGUUCCUAUCCUAAUAUUUAAUAACGCCAAAAACAACCCCUUAUUUCUUUUCAAACCAUGAAAUCCAACUAGAAUUACAAAAAAUAUAUAUAGAGGGAUACUCAAAACUGUUCUAUCAAAUGAAGAUAGUUUCAUUAUAAAAAUUAAUAAUAAUUAAAUGAACGUUUUAACUUCAGGUGGUACAAUAGUCCUCAAUCACCAUAUAUACUCAUCGAUAACUUAAAUACUGUUCAAAGUUUCUACGAUGAGCACUUGUAUAACAAAUAUUUUUUUCACCAAUUUUAAGGUGCCUGAUGCUAUCAAACUGGCAGUUAGGAAGCAAUCGACAAGACUGAAGAAGCUCAACCAAUUUGCAAAGUACCAAGAAGUAGUUCUACUCAAGAAGGACAAUCAACAAGAAAGUCAUAGAUACCUGUCACCGUCCAAUAAGGAUUGCAAGAAUCCCUGAAUAUCCCAUCCACAUGGGAAAGUCCUAGGACUGCCUAGAGCCAUCCAUAAAUCAUGCAAUUCGUGCGCCAUUAUAGUCAGGGUCCAUCUGAUGCUAUUUCUCAAACCCAUAAGGGGAUAAAAUAGUACUAUUGGGAUCUUAGAAAUACGCCAAAGUGACGUUUGACCUAUCCUAACCUAACGCGAGAACGACGUUGACAAUACACAAAGCUUUAUAACUUCAUUUACAAGAUUGAAACUAAUAGAGUUCCAUUAGGAAGACAAGACACACUAACCAUUGCUAAAAGGAUUUCCUAUAUACCUAUACAUACCAUCAGAUAUGCCAUCUUGAUUUGAUAUUCUCAAUAUAAUUUUCGACGCUCAAUACUGGUUUAGACGUUCCAAGAAUACAAUUAAUUGCAAUUAAUUAGUAAUUAUUGUCUAUCUUGCCAUUAAUUAACAUAGAAUAUUUGAGACAGUGGAUUUUCUACCAGGCUAUGGCAGAGAGCACUUCUCUGGUACGCACGUAGACGGAUAGUAAUUAAAACGUAAUUAGUUUGGUUUGCUACGGUUCUCCAUUAAUUGAGCAUUGACGUGUAUCGUGUUUACGUCGUACGAUGUGGAUCCCGACUAAAGGUACGAAUUGACGAUUUGUCUGCGCUGUCGCUAACUCAAUUGUAAACGGUGCGAUUUGCGAUUAUCUUUCGAGGAAGCAGUAGGUGGUAGUUCGAC